Molecule: non-coding RNA, 749 nt
Organism: Paramormyrops kingsleyae
Lineage: Eukaryota; Metazoa; Chordata; Actinopteri; Osteoglossiformes; Mormyridae
Source: RefSeq, a predicted model, not a curated record
CUCAUGCGUAAUUUGCAUGUCCGUAUUGAUUUCAUCGCAUGCAUUUCUUCGGAUCCAGGUCUUGCCGCAAGGAUCUCCGAUGACUUCAUCAACCAACAGAUUUCCAUCGCUGGAACACAAAUAUUUAACACCACCUAAUGGAAUAGAUUCAGAGGACCUGAAAGUAGAGCUGUUUCUCUUUGGGAUCUAGAGGAAACAAGUGAGGUGCUUUGGGUGUCUUAUAGGGAUCAUGCCAUCUGGAUGGAUCCCAAGGGAGAUGUUCCAGGCAUGUCCCACUGAGUGGAAGCCACUGACCUGGCAAUGUUCAGCCAUGGAAAACGAUGUCUGGUCAGAAACACAAGUGGCAAGAAACCAGAGUCAGAGCGGGGCCUGGAGCCUAUCCCGAAGAGCCUAGGGCACAAUGCUGGGGUACAGCACUGAUAGCAUGCCAGUCCAUCGCAGGAUCAUGUGCUAUGAGUAACUUAGAGAUGCUAAUUAAGUACAUGGCAUGUCUGUGGGAGGAAACAGCCGUAUCUGGAGGAGAACAUGCACCCAAACACAACAGUGACGGGAUGCUAACCCCUAACCCCAGAGCUGUAGGACAGCAGGACUAUCCACCAAGCCACAGUGCCACCACGUAAUCCUAUGUACUACUAGGUUCUGCGUUUGUUUUGAUAGUAACUCAGACUGGAGACUCAUCCAUAUUUCCUGCUGCAUGGCUGAGUGUCAGAGUCGAGACAUGCUAGCUUGUGACUUGUCGUUUCUCCUCC